Dinoponera quadriceps is the source of this 860-nucleotide long non-coding RNA. RefSeq lists it as uncharacterized. The record is from RefSeq and is a predicted model, not a curated record. Lineage: Eukaryota; Metazoa; Arthropoda; Insecta; Hymenoptera; Formicidae. The transcript is spliced from 2 exons.
UUUUACUAUUUAUUUAAAAUAGCUACCAAUUAAGUAUAUUAACUGUUCUAUGUAUAUUGUAAAAUAUACGCUUUAAAAUUUCAAACCACGCACACAUAAAAAAUUUGUUACAUCUUGAAAUGGGACGUUAUUGUAUAUUAUGCGGAAAAAAUUGUCGAAAAGCGAUGAAAGUAUCUUACCAUAAAUUUCCUAAAGAUAUAACACAGAAGAAAAUAUGGUUGAAGUUUUGUAAUAUGGAGGAGUUAAACAUAACCCGCUACUCUGUACUUUGUAACAAAUAUUUUAAAAAAGAUUUUAUGGUUUUACGGCAAAAGUUAAGUGCAAAACAUUAGCUUGUUUUGUUAAAGUUAAAAAAGCAAUGAUGUAGGAAAUAUAUUUCUCCUGUAACUAUCUCUCUUCAGAUGUAUGUGCAAUAUUGGAACCUACUGUGACAAAGACCUUGAAAAAGUUAUAACAAUAUCCUGGUGAUGUCAAUAUAUGCCACCUGCGAAAUCCUGGAAGAGCUCUAAAUCCUGGAAGAGCUCUAAAUGCAGCCAGAAAGACCAUUUUGGAACAGAGAAGAAAAAUAAAAAUAUUACAGCAAGCAUCUAAUAGCCUGAGACAGGAAGUAAGCUCCUUAUAGAAUCUGAUGGAGCAACUAAAGAGUAAGAAGAGUAAGAACUUGAUCAGUGAAAAUGUUGCGAAAAUCUAAAUGCUACUGUUAUAGAGAUUAUUUUUAACUUUUAUUUUUAAUAAGAAGCUUAAAAAUAUGAAAUGUAAUUGCAUCGACACUCAUUUAUCGAUCUUUAAAAUAUGCUAUUAAAAUAGUAAUUGCGGGACAUUCUCCAUAUAUUGUAAUUAUAUAUUAUCUUUAUAUCUUA